RNAcentral lists this ribosomal RNA (389 nucleotides) under uncultured bacterium. Its description in RNAcentral is "bacterial SSU rRNA". It matches the Rfam family "Bacterial small subunit ribosomal RNA", at positions 29 to 407 of the family's 1533-position model. The record is from RNAcentral.
AUUGAACGCUGGCGGCACGCUUAACACAUGCAAGUCGAACGGUAGCAGGUUAAUGCUUCGGUAUUAAUGCUGACGAGUGGCGGACGGGUGAGUAACACGUAGGAAUCUGUCUUAUAGAGGGGGAAACGAGGGGAAACGUCCUGCUAAUACCGCGUAAGCCCUGAGGGGAAAGGCUGGGAGCCUGAGAGGGUCCUGGCGCUAUAAGGUGAGCCUACGGCGGAUUAGCUAGUUGGUGGGGUAAAGGCCUACCAAGGCGAUGAUCCGUAGCUGUUCUGAGAGGAAGGACAGCCACACUGGGACUGAGACACGGCCCAGACUCCUACGGGAGGCAGCAGUGGGGAAUCUUGGACAAUGGGGGGAACCCGUGAUCCAGCGAUGCCGCGUGUGUG